Cavia porcellus (domestic guinea pig) is the source of this 1576-nucleotide long non-coding RNA. RefSeq lists it as uncharacterized. NCBI's taxonomy places the organism in Eukaryota, Metazoa, Chordata, Mammalia, Rodentia, Caviidae. The record is from RefSeq and is a predicted model, not a curated record. The transcript has 4 exons.
UGCUAAUAGAUUGUAAACCAAUAAAAGCAAGAUGAAGAUAUUUUAUUCUACUAUCACCUCUCUAGUGCUAGCCACAGUACUGGUUCAAAGUAGGCUAGAUAGCUGAUUUAUGGAAAUUAAUGCACAUACAGAUCAAUGUACAAAUGAAUGCAUGGAUACAUGGAUGACUCCUCAAGGUUUAUAAUGUUUUCAGAUCUAACACAUUAGAUUUUAAAUUAAAAAAAAAAAACAAUGAAAAGUGGCUAUUCUCGGAGUAUUAGGGAGUCAUGUGGGCGGUCAUGUUAAAGCUAAAUUUCACUUAUUUAUUUUUUGAUUUUAUUUAGUUUCCUUGCAGAGUAACACCUGUGAACUAUUCAGACUAAUUAGCAUCACCUGGUGGUGAUUGCUUGAGGAACGUGUACGAAUUAAAUACUUGAUUGGAUGACUGUUCAAGAUCUUUUUUAUCCCCCCAAACAUUUUCCUUUGUAAAUAAUCAGCAUUUUCAUGUGUACGUUGCCUUCUUGUUCUCUCAUUUACGGAAUUUGACGAGCUGUGACACGUUUUCUCUUGGAAUCAGCUUAAAGCGCGCUAUCAGCUUCAGUCAUUUGCCAAAGCUCCGUGUUGGCCAUGGAACGCACAGCAGGAAAGGUUUCAAGGUGAAAAGGGCAAUCGCGGAGUUUCUUAGGCCUGAGAGCCUGUCACUGCUGUGUCCUUCCCCCUCUCUGCUGCUCCAGGAGGACACCCCGACACCCCUCCUCUUACCAGUUUGCAGCUUGCUCACCCACUUAUCUCACAUAGCCGUGCGCUUUGGACAUGAGGAAGAGAUGGAGCAGGUGGAAGAAAAGGCUAAUGUUUUCUUCAAAUUCACAUAGAAACCAUGAGAAAAAGAUAAAAUGGCAGCAUUCCUAGAAGAUGGCAAGGUGGUAAUUCCCAAAACACUUCCUCAUACACCAUCUGCAUGCCAAUUGUCUCUCAAACUCCACUUCUUGGAGCAUACACAUGCCACCCUAAGACUCUAAUAGGCAUAUUAACUCAAAAUGGAAGAAAUGAAGACCUGUGACAUGACUGGUGAAGCCUGUUACUUUGAGGAAGAACAACCAAAGAUGGUCAGCGAUACCAGGAGUGACCAUAGAAAGGAAAAAAUACAAUGAUCUAUCUGGAUUUUGGCAAAGGAAGACAACAUGGAUUAUAUUCUUGCAGUUGAACAGAAUAUUAACAAAGAUUCUCUGGCUCAUUUGGAGAGGAUGGAAUUAAUUCACCAAGGAAAGGGUCGCUAUAGGCAAGAUUCCACAAAUAAAGGGAGAGAAAUGCAGAUUAUGGUUUAAAAAAAUUAACUAGAGAAUGGGAUGUUAACCUCCAGCUGGGGAAGUAAUUAUAUUAUAAUGGUGAUGGAGAAAACUAUCAGCCAAAGAAAUGAACCUGAACUGAAAUGUUUCUAAAUGGCAAGUAACUUUGGUUACCUUUUGGUUUGCAUGUGCUUCAUUUUAUAUUCACUACUCUGUGAUCCUGGGACUCAGCAGAGACUAGAAUUGAGCAUUCUGCUAGACUUGGUCUUGCCACUUAAUAAAGCUUUGUUGAAAUGCAAUUUAAAAAGAUA